UUCCGGUUGAUCCUGCCGGACCCCACUGCUAUCGAGAUGGGACUAAGGUAUGCUAGUCGAACGACCAGAACUAUGUCUGGGAGUGGCACACUGCUCAGUAACACGUAGCUAACCUACCCUUAGGACGUGGAUACCCCCGAGAAAUUGGGGUUAAUCCGCGAUAGAUGUAAUGUCCUGGAAUGGUAUUACGUCUAAAGGUAUUUCAUACGUGUUUGAAAUAUGCCUAAGGAUGGGGCUGCGGCCGAUCAGGCUGUUGGUGAGGUAAUGGCUCACCAAACCUUUGACCGGUACGGGCCAUGAGAGUGGUAGCCCGGAGAUGGACACUGAGACAAGGGUCCAGGCCCUAAGGGGCGCAGCAACCGCGAAACCUCCACAAUGCACUCACGUGCGAUGGGGCUAUCUCGAGUGCCACCUGAUGAAGGUGGCUUUUCCUUGGUCUUCAAAGCCUUGGGAAUAAGAGGGGGGCAAGACUGGUGUCAGCCGCCGCGGUAACACCAGCCCCUCGAGUGGUGGGGAUGAUUAUUUGGCCUAAAGCGUCCGUAGCCGGCCGUGAAAGUCUUCCGUUAAAUCCAGCGUCUCAAGCGUUGGACCGCGGGAGAUACUACAUGGCUAGAGAGUGGGAGAGGUCAGCGGUAUUCUGGGGGUAGGGGCGAAAUCCUUUGAUCCCCGGAGGACCACCAGUGGCGAAGGCUGCUGACUAGAACACGUCUGACGGUCAGGGACGAAAGCUGGGGUAGCGAACCGGAUUAGAUACCCGGGUAGUCCCAGCCGUAAACGAUGCAUGCUAGGUGUUGGGUU
This 798-nucleotide ribosomal RNA is filed under the name uncultured archaeon. RNAcentral describes it as "bacterial SSU rRNA". It matches the Rfam family "Archaeal small subunit ribosomal RNA", at positions 1 to 780 of the family's 1478-position model. The record is from RNAcentral.